UUUCUCUGUUCUUUUUUGUACAUUUACUCAGAUUAUAAUUGAUAGACUGUGAUGUAUGCCUCUCUUUUGCUUCUUUGCAGAAUUGAUUUUAAGAUAAGAACUAUAUUUUGAGCUUAAUGGCAAAAGCGGCAUGCUCCAGAUUUGGGAUACGGCUGGUCAAGAACGUUGCUGAAUCAUCACCACUGGUGAGUGGGACCUUUUCAUAUGAGAGAGUUGCUCUCAUCGCCUACUCAACAUACUAUAUUAGAGAGCUUAUUACGGAGGGGCAAUGGGAAUUUUUGCAGCUGGAUGAUGUCACAGACGAACCAUCCGUCAACAGUAGUUUUGCUGCUGUCUAAACAUGACAUCUUUUUUCUUACAUUUUUGCUUUGUUUUUGAACCUGUUUUCUUGAUCUUAUUGCAAAGCUUAAGAACUGGAUUCGUAAUAUCAAACAGCCUGCUUCAGAUGAUGUUGAGAAGAUAUUGUUAGGGAACAAACCCCGCAGUAACGCAAGUGCAUUCAUACUGAUUUACAACUUCAUGAUUCACGACUAAUCAAAUUAAUAGCGUUUUUGACAACUUUUUUUGGCAGACUGCCAAAAUCAAUAGGUCAAGCACUUGCUGAUAAAAAAGGAAGCCAAGCAUUGUCUCUUCAGAUCAACUUAGACUACUACAUUGUUCGUAUUCGUUUUGCAAGUUUCAGAACUUGCUACUUUUAUGGUUAAAACAGAUAAGGGCCAGAAUCUCUGGUCUUGAGCUUUGGGUGCACUGAGAAAUAUGUGACACAAGAGAAUGUGAUGGAGUUUCUUCUGUCUAGGUCAGAGGAAUUGAAACAAAGAGGAAUGAAUAUGUCAAUGCUAUCUGAAUUGAUAAAUGAAAUCUUAAAAAAUAAUAAGUAUCUGUUAUGACACAUUAUAAAUGAGAAAAUUUCAAAAAAUAUGACAACAUUGUUUUAGUGCAUAGUUGCAUCCAGCACUAACAUAUGAUGAUGUUCAAAGAGGUUAGGAGCCUUUGUUGUCUCUGUUUUUCAAAAAAAUAGUGAUUUUAUAGUGGUUAUUC
Brassica napus (rape) is the source of this 1038-nucleotide long non-coding RNA. RefSeq lists it as uncharacterized. The record is from RefSeq and is a predicted model, not a curated record. The transcript is spliced from 3 exons. Lineage: Eukaryota; Viridiplantae; Streptophyta; Magnoliopsida; Brassicales; Brassicaceae.